Molecule: long non-coding RNA, 220 nt
Filed under: Gossypium barbadense (sea-island cotton)
Lineage: Eukaryota; Viridiplantae; Streptophyta; Magnoliopsida; Malvales; Malvaceae
Description: long non-coding RNA (GBAR_LNC016194)
Source: RNAcentral
CUUUCCACUGUUUGAUUUCCAUGAUAAACUUUCCCGACAUCAACUUUCUUACUAAGGUCACAUUCCAUCGAUUGAAUCAAAAUGCCAUGGCUACGCCAUUGCCAACUCCAGCUAAAUUCCCUUGCAGCUGAAAGCUCUGUACCAGCACCACCCUUUACUACUUUGCUUGCCAUGUUUACUUCUUUUCUCAUCUUUCCUCUGAGUUGUACCUACACCACCU